Molecule: ribosomal RNA, 1097 nt
Filed under: Candidatus Omnitrophota bacterium
Lineage: Bacteria; Pseudomonadati; Candidatus Omnitrophota
Description: bacterial SSU rRNA
Rfam family: Bacterial small subunit ribosomal RNA
Source: RNAcentral
UUUUCGGAGAGUUUGAUCCUGGCUCAGAGUGAACGCUGGCGGCGUAGAUUAGGCAUGCAAGUCGAGCGAUACUUUUUUCUUGAGAUGGUGAAGCCGCAAGGCUGAUCUGUCAAGGGAAGAAAGAUAUAGCGGCAGACUGGUGAGUAACACGUGAGUAAUUUACCUCUAAGUCGGGGAUAGCCUUGUGAAAGCGAGGGUAAUACCCGAUGUGUUUACGGCUGCAUAAGCAGCUGUAAGUAAAGGAGGCUCGCAAGAGUUUCCGUUUAGAGAUGAGCUCGCGUCCUAUCAGCUAGUUGGUGGGGUAAUGGCCUACCAAGGCUUUUGACGGGUAGCUGGCCUGAGAGGGUGGUCAGCCACAUGGGGACUGAGACACUGCCCCAACUCCUACGGGAGGCUGCAGUCGAGGAUAUUUAGCAAUGGACGAAAGUCUGACUAUGUGACGCCGCGUGAGGGAUGAAGGUCUUCGGAUUGUAAACCUCUUUCGAUAGGGAAGAAAACCUAUUCUUAACGGAAUAGACUGACGGUACCUAGAGAAGAAGCCACGGCCAACUCUGUGCCAGCAGCCGCGGUAAUACAGAGGUGGCGAGCGUUACUCGGAUUUCUUGGGUGUAAAGGGCAAGUAGGCGUCUUAACAAGUUAGGAGUGAAAUCCUGCAGCUCAACUGCAGAACUGCUUUUAAAACUGUCGAGAUUGAGACUGGGAGAGGAGAGCGGAAUUCUCGGUGUAAGAGUGAAAUCUGUAGAUAUCGAGAGGAACACCAGUGGCGAAGGCGGCUCUCUGGUCCAGUACUGACGCUGAAUUGCGAAAGCUAGGGGAGCAAACAGGAUUAGAUACCCUGGUAGUCCUAGCCGUAAACGAUGAGCACUAGGUGUUAGGGGUUUACCCUUAGCGCCGCAAGCUAACGCGUUAAGUGCUCCACCUGGGGACUACGACCGCAAGGUUAAAACUCAAAGGAAUUGACGGGGGCCCGCACAAGCGGUGGAACACGUGGUUUAAUUCGAUGCUACGCGAGGAACCGUACCAGGGCUUGACAUGCUAGGAGUAUUUUGGUGGAAACGCCGAAAGACCGUAUCCAAUCGGAGCCUAGUACAGGUGCU